This 54-nucleotide non-coding RNA is filed under the name unclassified sequences. The record is from Rfam.
AACGUUCAUCUUUUAAUAAAAGACGGAAGUAGGUUAGAACCGAAGGAACGCAUU